ACGGCUACCUUGUUACGACUUCACCCCAGUUACCGGCUCCACCUUCGGCAGCUCCUUCCUUUCGGUUAGGUCACUGACUUCGGGCAUUUCCGACUCCCAUGGUGUGACGGGCGGUGUGUACAAGACCCGGGAACGUAUUCACCGCGACAUUCUGAUUCGCGAUUACUAGCGAUUCCAGCUUCAUGUAGUCGAGUUGCAGACUACAAUCCGAACUGGGACGUUAUUUUUGGGAUUUGCUUAACGUCACCGUCUCGCUUCCCUUUGUUUACGCCAUUGUAGCACGUGUGUAGCCCUGAUCAUAAGGGGCAUGAUGAUUUGACGUCAUCCCCGCCUUCCUCCCGGUUAUCCCGGGCAGUCUCUCCAGACUGCCCAGCUUUACCUGCUGGCUACUGGAAAUAGGGGUUGCGCUCGUUGCGGGACUUAACCCAACAUCUCACGACACGAGCUGACGACAACCAUGAACCACCUGUCUCCAAUGCCCCCGAAGGGAAAGUGACUUUGCUCACUCGUCAUCGGGAUGUCAAGACCAGGUAAGGUUCUUCGCGUUGCUUCGAAUUAAACCACAUGCUCCA
This 572-nucleotide ribosomal RNA is filed under the name uncultured bacterium. RNAcentral describes it as "partial 16S ribosomal RNA". The record is from RNAcentral.